GUGUUCCCAUCGCGUGGAUUGUCUACGACAGUAUAACGAGCACCACAAGCCCGGGUUUAUUUAGAGUUUGCUCUCCUAGGCAGAUUGCCUACCACGGCUGACGACCUCCACCUGCCCGGGUUUAUUGUUCGGAGUUUGCUCUCCUAGGCAGACUGCCUACCACGGCUGACGAGCUCCACCUGCCCGGGUUUGUUGUUCGGAGUUUGCUCUCCUAGGCAGAUUGCCUACCACGGCUGACGAGCUCCACCUGCCCGGGUUUGUUGUUCGGAGUUUGCUCUCCUAGGUGUAUUGCCUACCACGGCUGACGAGCUCCACCUGCCCGGGUUUGUUGUUCGGAGUUUGCUCUCCUAGGUGAAUUGCCUCCCACGGCUAACGACCUCCACCUGCCCGGGUUUGUAUAGAGUUUGCUCUCCUAGGUGAAUUGCCUACCACGGCUAACGAGCCUCACCUGCCCGGGUUUGUAUAGAG
This is a long non-coding RNA of Eriocheir sinensis (Chinese mitten crab), 468 nucleotides long. RefSeq lists it as uncharacterized. Lineage: Eukaryota; Metazoa; Arthropoda; Malacostraca; Decapoda; Varunidae. The record is from RefSeq and is a predicted model, not a curated record. The transcript is spliced from 3 exons.